This 1785-nucleotide long non-coding RNA is filed under the name Sus scrofa (pig). Its description in RNAcentral is "lncRNA (ENSSSCG00000059725.1)". Lineage: Eukaryota; Metazoa; Chordata; Mammalia; Artiodactyla; Suidae. The record is from RNAcentral.
UUUUUUUUUUUUUUUUUUUUUUGGUCUUUUUAGGGCCAUACCCACGGCAUAUGGAAGUUCCCAGGCUAGGGUAGAAUCAGAGCUGCAGCUGCUGACCUAUGCCACAGCCACAGCAACACCAGCUCUGAGCCAUGUCUGCGGCCUACACUAUAGCUCACUGCAACGCUAGAACCUUAACCCACUGAUUGAGGCCAGAGGUUGAACUCACAUCUGCAUGGACACUAGUCAGGUUCUGAACCUGCUGAGCCACAGCAGGAGUUCCCAGAAUAGUUGUUGCUAAAAUGUUUUUGGGUGAAUAUAAAAAACUCAAGUCAACCUCAGGAAUUUGGAAUAGCAAGAUCUUCUUGUUUAUUUGUACAUACGUUGGGGUGUCUCUUGAAUCUCUCUCUUGAACAUUAGGGGAAGAAACUAUUAAAGUACAACCAUUAGGUACUUCUAAAAAGGAAGCAAGCAUUGGUGCACAGAGAAGUCAGGAUAGUGUUUUGUUGUUCUAAAUAGGUGAUACAGACGAUAAAUGCUCUAGAAAUUCAGACUGGAAUAAUUGGGUCACUGAAGUUUAGGGCCACCAGAAAAAGCUUCACCAUGAAGCAGGACUUGAACGGGGUACAGUUUAGACAAAUAUAAAAAGGGGGCAAGUCUUCAAGCAGAAUGAAUUUAGUAUAAACAAAGGUAUCAGGACUACAUGUAAAAAUAUAAUCUUUUAGGUGGAUAAAUCUGUCUAUAGAGAGGAAGUAUUAAGGAGCAGGCGGGAGUAAAGUCAUUGUGGACACAGAAUAUUGCCUGCCCUAUCAGCAAACAAAGGCUAUUGCUGCCACCAAACCCUCAGCCAGUGCAGCCACCCACAGAGAGUGUCCCCUGAGGGCACUCAGAUGGGAAAGAACAAGGCACUGGCCCCAGAUAGUUAGGGUGCACAUCAAAGGAAUGAUUUCAAUAAGCCUAGACUCUUACAUCUUUUCAUACAUAGAAAAGCACUAAAGCACUAACCUUUUGGUGUUUGAUUACCUGUUUUGUUUUUUUUGUUUUGUUUUAUAUUUACGCUAUUUUUUAUUGUGAUCAAUUGUUAUUUCCCUAAUACAUUUUCUUUCUACUAUACAGCUGGCUGACCCAGUUACAAAUACAUGUAUACAUUCUUUUUUCUCACAUUAUGCUCCAUCAUAAGUGACUAGACAUAGUUCCCAGUGCUACAGGAUUUUUUUGUUUUUUGUCUUUUUAGGGCCUCACUUGUGGCAUAUAGAAGUUCCCAGGCUAGGGAUCGAAUUGGAGCUGCAGCUGCCAGCCUACACCACAGCUCACGGCAAUGCCAGAUCUUUAACCCACUGAGCAAGGCCAGGAAUUGAACCCGCAGUCCUCAUGGAUUCUAGUCAGGUUCGUCACCAUCGGGCCAUGACAGGAACUCCUUGAUCCAUCCUCUAAUAUUAAUUCUUUCUGUCAAAAAAGAUAUAAUCAGCUCAGAAGGUAACAUCUAAGGAAAUAAUUUUAAGACCUGAAGUUUGGGAUGCCCUGUGGGCAAGCGCAGUAUGUGGAAGGGAUUGUAAUUAAGGAAUGACUUGGGAGUUUCCGUGGCGCAGUGGUUAACGAAUCCUACUAGGAACCAUGAGUUUGCGGUUCAGUCCCUACCCUUGCUCAGUGGGUUAACUAUCCGGCGUUGCCGUGAGCUGUGGUGUAGGUCACAGACGUGGCUCGGAUCCUGCGUUGCUGUGGCUCUGGUGCAGGCCAGCAGCUACAGCUCAGAUUAGACCCCUAGCCUGGGGAACCUCCAUAUGCCGCGGGAGCGGCCCAAGAAAU